CUACGGGCGGCUGCAGUGAGGAAUAUUGGUCAAUGGGCGCGAGCCUGAACCAGCCAUCCCGCGUGCAGGAUGACGGCCCUAUGGGUUGUAAACUGCUUUUCUAUGCCAAGAAACCCUGUUACGAGUAACAGGUUGCCGGUAGCAUAGGAAUAAGCAUCGGCUAACUCCGUGCCAGCAGCCGCGGUAAUACGGAGGAUGCAAGCGUUAUCGGGAUUCAUUGGGUUGAAAGGGUGCGCAGGUGGGCUUGUAAGUCAGUGGUGAAAUGCUGCCGCUUAACGGUAGAACUGCCAUUGAUACUGGUAGUCUUGAGUAUGGUUGAGGUAGGCGGAAUGUGUUGUGUAGCGGUGAAAUGCAUAGAUAUGACACAGAACGCCAAUUGCGAAGGCAGCUUACUAAGCCAUUACUGACGCUGAGGCACGAAAGCGUGGGGAGCGAACAGGAUUAGAUACCCUAGUAGUC
Molecule: ribosomal RNA, 459 nt
Filed under: uncultured bacterium
Lineage: Bacteria
Description: partial 16S ribosomal RNA
Rfam family: Bacterial small subunit ribosomal RNA
Source: RNAcentral